RNAcentral lists this unclassified non-coding RNA (921 nucleotides) under Homarus americanus (American lobster). RNAcentral describes it as "uncharacterized LOC121878433, transcript variant X3". Lineage: Eukaryota; Metazoa; Arthropoda; Malacostraca; Decapoda; Nephropidae. The record is from RNAcentral.
AUCUUCGUGAUGUAGAUUAAUAUCACCUUUUCCUUUUCUAUUUUUAAUUUCUUUUUAUUCUUAUUUUUCCGCCCCCAUGCCCCGAUGUGAGUCGAUGACCUGUACCGGGUGAGCUAUUCCCCGUAAAAAAUAACAAUAAAAAUAACAAUAAUAAUAUAAACAAUUGAAAUUGAAAAAUUGAAUAAUAAUAUUGUGAGAUAUCUUUCGUUGAGGGAGGCCUUAUAUAAAAUUAUUAAGGCAUUGGCGAAUAACACAUAGUGAAAAAAAUUACACAAUUUAAGAUAAUUAAUAAUAUUAUAUAAUAUUAUAGAGUAACUUUAUCAUUUUUAGACCGUUUAAAAAAUAAAUAUAAGGUAAAUACUAUUCCCUGACACUGGGAGCGUUGGCUCUACUGUCCCCCAUGUAAACACAGCAGCUGAGUUGUAACUUGAGAUGUUACAACAAAACUUGGGGAAAUUGAGCUGCUCCAUAACAGCUGAAAAUGAUAACUGGCGCAUCGAACGAAAGCUGUCACCAGCACUAUCACCAAUGCCACCACCACUACUAGCACCACCACCUAUGGCAAGAUGAGUAACGACUAAACCCUUGAGAAAUUAACAACUGGAUCAUGGAAACACUGCUGUUACAGAGCAGUCCAGGGCAGCAGCACACAUAGCAGAGCAGUCCAGGGCAGCAGCAUGCACAGAGCAGAGCCGUCUAGGACAGCAGCAUGCACAGGGCAGAGCCGUCCAGGGCAGCGGGCAGCAGCCAGCAUGCACAGGGCAGAGCCAUCCAGGGCAGCAGCCAGCAAGCAAGCACAGGGGAGUCCAGGGUGGCAGUAGCAAGCAAGUACAGGGCAGUGGCCAGUAAGCACAGUCUAGGGCAGCAUGGCACUCCAGUGUUCAGAACAACAUUUCUGUACAAAAUAAAAUGUAAAAUUAA